GGGUAACUGCUGCCUUCUACCUGUAGGGGAAGCGCUUCCUCUGGAGCGGGGGAUGCAGCACCCGGAAGCAGUCAUGCCAGGCCUGCCUGAUUCCCAUCUUCUUGCCAGAGAUCUUUGAAAGUGCAGGUGGAACAGAGUUCUUGCCCCAUGGCUCCACUACCGUUGCAGUCAUAGUGAACGUGAGACCAGAUGGCAGGGAUCUGAUGCCAUUUAAGAAGUACCUUUUGCCUUCCACCAUGAUUGUGAGGCCUCCCCAGC
Molecule: long non-coding RNA, 258 nt
Filed under: Homo sapiens (human)
Lineage: Eukaryota; Metazoa; Chordata; Mammalia; Primates; Hominidae
Description: HSALNT0040490
Source: RNAcentral